AUGGCAAGCCCACAGAUACACGCCAAUCCGACGUAUGAGAUCGACAGGGCUCGAGACUCUCAGGUUUUGAGUUUCCUUUUUAAUUCCAUCUCACCUCCUGUGAUGGUUCAGAUCGCAAAUGGCAUCACGGUGUCAGCAGCAUGGACUGCAAUCACCGAGAUGUUCAUCUCCGAGACGCAGGCGGCCAUCGUCAACACGAGGAUCGCCCUCUCCACCACCAAGAAGGGGACUUCCACCAUCGCCGAGUAUCUUGGCCGCAUGAAGGCCCUUGGUGAUGAGAUGGCUGCCAUCGGCAAGCCACUCACCGACGACGACAUGGUGUCGUACAUCCUCGCCGGCCUUGACUUCGACUACAUGUCGUUUGUCUCCUCGGUCUGCGCCAGGACUGUCCCCAUCAAGCCAAACGAGCUCUACUCCCAGCUGAUCAGCUUCAAGAGCCGCCUAGUAUGUUCGAGGGGAACUCAUCUUCACACUCCUCCGCCAACGCUGCCUCUCGCGGCCGUGGUGGCUUUCCUCGUGGCGGCGGCCGCGGCAGGAACGGCAGAGGUCGUGGUCACGGUGGUGGCCGCGGCAAUGGAGGCAAUGGUGGCGGCCGUGGAAACGGCCACAGUGGCCGCGACAAUGGAGGUGGCGGCCGUGACGAGAUCCCGGAAGCCUUCUGUCAGAUCUGCAAGAAGCCAAAUCACACUGCCCUCGAGUGCUAUCGUCGCUUCGACAUCGCCUUCACCAAGGAGAAAAGCGCAAGCGUAG
Molecule: ribosomal RNA, 750 nt
Filed under: Triticum aestivum (bread wheat)
Lineage: Eukaryota; Viridiplantae; Streptophyta; Magnoliopsida; Poales; Poaceae
Description: partial small subunit ribosomal RNA
Source: RNAcentral